Molecule: long non-coding RNA, 390 nt
Filed under: Rattus norvegicus (Norway rat)
Lineage: Eukaryota; Metazoa; Chordata; Mammalia; Rodentia; Muridae
Description: long non-coding RNA NONRATT024829
Source: RNAcentral
GGGCUUAGGCAAGAGGAUCCCAAGUUCAAGGCCUGCCUUUACUUCAGAGUAGGUUAGUGUCAACCUGGGCAGCGUUUUGAGAACACGUCUUAAAAUAAAGACAUGCCUGCCAGGGGAUUAAAUCAGCAGAACAGGAGUUGUUAGCAUGCGUGAGGCUGCAGGUUCAACUGCAAGUGAACCACCGCUCUAAAAAAGUAAAAAUAUAUCUUAAUAUUAAUAACCGAUGAGAGGUUUUAGUUUAUAUAUUGUACUUAGGUUCUUCCCUGUUGUCAUUCGAGCUGAGCUACCUAUAAUUAUAUUUCUAAUUUGAUUUUUUUAGGCGUUUCAUUAAACGGGUGUAUGUGUCAUUACCCAAUGAGGAGACACGACUACUUCUACUUAAAAACCUGU